RNAcentral lists this ribosomal RNA (301 nucleotides) under uncultured bacterium. RNAcentral describes it as "partial 16S ribosomal RNA". It matches the Rfam family "Bacterial small subunit ribosomal RNA", at positions 509 to 809 of the family's 1533-position model. The record is from RNAcentral.
CAGUCGCCGCGGGAAUACGUAGGGUGCAAGCGUUAAUCGGAAUUACUGGGCGUAAAGCGUGCGCAGGCGGUUUGUUAAGACAGAUGUGAAAUCCCCGGGCUCAGCCUGGGAACAGCAUUUGUGACUGGCAAGCUAGAGUGUGGCAGAGGGGGGUGGAAUUCCGCGUGUAGCAGUGAAAUGCGUAGAUAUGCGGAGGAACACCGAUGGCGAAGGCAGCCCCCUGGGCCAACACUGACGCUCAUGCACGAAAGCGUGGGGAGCAAACAGGAUUAGAUACCCGAGUAGUCCCUGUCUCUUAUCC